CCUACGGGAGGCAGCAGUGGGGAAUCUUGCGCAAUGGGCGAAAGCCUGACGCAGCCAUGCCGCGUGAAUGAUGAAGGUCUUAGGAUUGUAAAAUUCUUUCAGUAGGGACGAUAAUGACGGUACCUACAGAAGAAGCCCCGGCUAACUUCGUGCCAGCAGCCGCGGUAAUACGAAGGGGGCUAGCGUUGCUCGGAAUUACUGGGCGUAAAGGGAGCGUAGGCGGGUUAUCAAGUUGGAGGUGAAAGCCCAGGGCUCAACCUUGGAAUUGCCUUCAAAACUGAUAGCCUAGAGUAUGAUAGAGGUAUGUGGAACUCCGAGUGUAGAGGUGAAAUUCGUAGAUAUUCGGAAGAACACCAGUGGCGAAGGCGACAUACUGGGUCAUGACUGACGCUGAGGCUCGAAAGCGUGGGGAGCAAACAGGAUUAGAUACCCUGGUAGUCCGCGCUGUAAAACGAUGAUGNUAGUGUCGGACGGCGAUGCGUCGGUGACGCNGCGUACGACAUAAGUACGACUACCGCCGUCGGGAGGUACGGUCGGCGAAGAAGUUAAACGUAACUUAAAUUAGUAAGUUAGUUAGGCGNGAGAGNGCGACGGACGACGACGAGGGAGGAGG
This 613-nucleotide ribosomal RNA is filed under the name uncultured bacterium. RNAcentral describes it as "bacterial SSU rRNA". The stretch from base 1 to 519 matches the Rfam family "Bacterial small subunit ribosomal RNA", at positions 338 to 873 of the family's 1533-position model. The record is from RNAcentral.